UACGUAGGGUGCGAGCGUUGUCCGGAAUCACUGGGCUUAAAGGGCGCGUAGGCGGACUAUCAAGUCUGGGGUGAAAUCCCGCGGCUCAACCGUGGAACUGCCUCAGAUACUGACGGUCUCGAGGGAGGUAGGGGCAUGCGGAACUGUAGGUGGAGCGGUGAAAUGCGUUGAUAUCUACAGGAACUCCGGUGGCGAAAGCGGCGUGCUGGACCUCUUCUGACGCUGAGGCGCGAAAGCUAGGGGAGCAAACGGG
RNAcentral lists this ribosomal RNA (253 nucleotides) under uncultured bacterium. RNAcentral's name for it is "partial 16S ribosomal RNA". It matches the Rfam family "Bacterial small subunit ribosomal RNA", at positions 524 to 776 of the family's 1533-position model. The record is from RNAcentral.